This is a long non-coding RNA of Armigeres subalbatus, 385 nucleotides long. RefSeq lists it as uncharacterized. NCBI's taxonomy places the organism in Eukaryota, Metazoa, Arthropoda, Insecta, Diptera, Culicidae. The record is from RefSeq and is a predicted model, not a curated record. The transcript is spliced from 3 exons.
GAAUCACAAGGAUUUAAACUUUUUCAUCGAAUACAGAACCUUGACUCUGGCGAUCUGUUGGUUUCCGAUAUGUUCCAAUGUUGCUGGAGGUGUAACCGGGGCAGUGUAUCUUCGAAUAUGACAGUUUUCCUGGGACAUACUGCCGCUGUACUGUGAAGUUCAUCAUCAUCAUUUGAGUUUAUGAGCAUGGUUCACUGCCAGAUCGUUGCUGACGUAGCUAACGGAUUGCGCGACAUUUUGAUGAAUUUAAACUCGAAUAUGCGCUGUGAACUACAUUGGCGAACCCGAGCAAUGCUACCACCGGAAUAAAGGGACCAAGUCGGUGCUGAGUUAAUGUCCGCUGGUGGCUUCCUAAUAUUGACGCACAUUUGUUGAACGUAAAGAA